Molecule: ribosomal RNA, 424 nt
Filed under: uncultured Planctomycetaceae bacterium
Lineage: Bacteria; Pseudomonadati; Planctomycetota; Planctomycetia; Planctomycetales; Planctomycetaceae
Description: partial 16S ribosomal RNA
Rfam family: Bacterial small subunit ribosomal RNA
Source: RNAcentral
UCGAGAAUCUUCGGCAAUGGACGAAAGUCUGACCGAGCGACGCCGCGUGUGCGAUGAAGGCCUUCGGGUUGUAAAGCACUGUCAAGUAGAAGGAAAUGCUAUGGGGUACUCCCCAUAGUUUGACCGAUUGCAAAAGGAAGGACGGGCUAAGUUCGUGCCAGCAGCCGCGGUAAUACGAACCGUCCAAACGUUAUUCGGAAUCACUGGGCUUAAAGGGUGCGUAGGUGGUCGUAUAAGUUGGAUGUGAAAUCCCUCAGCUCAACUGAGGAACUGCGUCUAAUACUGUAUGGCUUGAGGGAGAUAGAGGUAAGCGGAACAGAUGGUGGAGCGGUGAAAUGCGUUGAUAUUAUCUGGAACACCAGUUGCGAAAGCGGCUUACUGGGUCUUUUCUGACACUGAAGCACGAAAGCCAGGGGAGCGAACG